GAUGAAGAACGUAGCGAAAUGCGAUAAGUAAUGUGAAUUGCAGAAUUCAGUGAAUCAUCGAAUCUUUGAACGCACAUUGCGCCCGCCAGUAUUCUGGCGGGCAUGCCUGUUCGAGCGUCAUUUCAACCAUCAAGCCCCGGGCUUGUGUUGGGGACCUGCGGCUGCCGCAGGCCCUGAAAUGCAGUGGCGGGCUCGCUGUCACACCGGGCGUAGUAGAUUUUAUCUCGCUCAGGGCGUGCUGCGGGUCCCGGCCGUUAAAAGCCUUUUUUUACCCAAGGUUGACCUCGGAUCAGGUAGGAAGACCCGCUGAACUUAAGCAUAUCAAUAAGCGGAGGA
This 336-nucleotide unclassified non-coding RNA is filed under the name soil metagenome. RNAcentral's name for it is "partial contains 5.8S ribosomal RNA, internal transcribed spacer 2, and large subunit ribosomal RNA". The stretch from base 1 to 120 matches the Rfam family "5.8S ribosomal RNA", at positions 35 to 154 of the family's 154-position model. The record is from RNAcentral.